GUGUUUGCUUUGGCAGCACAUAUACUAAAAUUGGAACGAUACAGAGCAGAUUAGCACGGCCCUUGUAAUGCAAAUUUGUGAAGCAUUCCAUAUUUUU
Molecule: small nuclear RNA, 97 nt
Organism: Erinaceus europaeus (western European hedgehog)
Lineage: Eukaryota; Metazoa; Chordata; Mammalia; Eulipotyphla; Erinaceidae
Source: Ensembl